This is a long non-coding RNA of Vicia villosa (hairy vetch), 2309 nucleotides long. RefSeq lists it as uncharacterized. Lineage: Eukaryota; Viridiplantae; Streptophyta; Magnoliopsida; Fabales; Fabaceae. The record is from RefSeq and is a predicted model, not a curated record. The transcript is spliced from 4 exons.
CACAUCUUACUCACUUCAUUAUCACCAUAUUCACUUUCUCCUUUCACUUAAACACAGAAAUCUCCCACUCUCGAGAACUCUAAUCCCUAAUCGCCAUUUUUGUACUCUUCAUCUCACAGCGUCAACCGUCGACGAUUCUCUCUCCUCCCAAUUCAUCCCCGAAUUCCACAUCCACCGUCAAUGAUUUCUCACAUCCACCGUCAAUGAUUUCCCACCCUCAAUCUUUCAACCAAACACAGACCAACAAUCUGUAACGCAAUCAAACCCACUUUAUCCUUCAACUGGCUCGUUUCCCAUGAUAUAUCUGCCAAAACCGCUUCUCCAUGGCUUCCCAACUUCGAAGAACUUGACACCACCAACAUGCUUCUCCGUCAAAGGAUUGUCUUUUUGGGUUCUCAGGUGGAUGAUACGACAGCAGUUUUUGAAAUCAGUCAACUUUUGUUUUUGGAUGCUGAUGAUCCUAAGAAAGACUUCAAGUUGUUCAUAAAUUCACCUGGUGGUUCUGUUACUGCUGAUGUAGCAACAGCUCAAGACAUUGGAGAUGGAGGUCAGAGAAUACAAGAUAUGAUAACCAAUGAUGUUGUAGAUCCUACCAAAUGUGAUGUAGAUGAUCAAAGCUCAAAACUUGAAUACAACGAGUCUCAUUAGACAUCUCAAUACGACACAGAUCAUAUUUACCAUCCAGAACAUUCUCUGUUGCAUAUUAAAGUAAGUCUAAACUUUUGAUAUUUUAUUAGACAAGCUUGUGCUUAUGUUAAUUCAUUUCCGUAUGCAAAUCGAAUCUGUCAUGCAAUUUCGUUAAGCAGGAAGAACUAAAACCAGAAGACGAGACAGAAGACGGUGAAAUAGAUAUACCAAAAUCAAAAUCCCAAAAGAAGCUAUUGUUUAGAUCAGUGUUGGGUGGUGCCACUGCUGUUGGUUUGUUAUUCAUGUUUCUCAACCUAAGGAAGAAUGUUGGAGAAAAAGCUGUACAACCAAGUAAGACAUCUAGUCAUAAGAACAAAGAGAAUAUUCAGAAAAAUUCAACCAAGAAAAUAAAUAUGAUAAGUACAACAAAAGAGGUUUAUCCAGAUGAAAAGCUCCAGUUAAAGUGAUUGGGAUUUUGGUCUCUUUUGAGAUUGUGGAUCAUAUAUUUCUGUACUGAUAGAUUAGAUAGGUUUUAGUUUUUUUUUAGUAUAAAAAUUCUUUAGUUGAGACAAUGAUAUGAGAUGAAGCACAAAUAAAAGGUAAAAAUUCUAGUAUAAAGAACUUAAUUGCUGAAUGGUGUGAGAACCACAACUUCAACAUCAUAUCAAUAUUGGAUUUCUGGCUUCAACAAUGAAAUUUUUGUAAAACUUGUGGCUUGUAGCUGCUGAGAAUCCAGGUUUCGGCAAUCUGAGAUCCUCAAUGGUUAUACCUUCACCGACUGUUCCGGUAAUCUAAAUUGAACUGAUGCCUUUUGUUUUGUCGGUGAGAAUUGUAUUAUUGAUUGAAAAUAUAUGUAUAACAGAAGGAAAACCCCUAUAACUCCUGAUCAAAAGCCCUCCUUAGAGAAGAAAAUUGUAACUAAUACUCUAUUUGGCUCAUUUGUUGGCUUAAGGGCCAAACUCAGUACAUAACAUAUACAUGUAAGUUUCAAGGCUAAAUUGUUUUGGUUCCUUCAUUGAAGAAUAUUAUAGAAGUAAACCUGCUGAGUCUAAAUCUUGAUAUGUUGUUUAAAGUCAAAACAAUAAUAGUAUAUCAACCAAGGAUUUCCUUAAAACAUUGCAGAAUAAUAGCUAGUUCUUUUGUUUACAGGUGUGGAGUCAUAUGACAUUGAUUUGAAGGAACAGAAAGUGGUAGUGAAAGGAAAUGUUGAACAGGAUACAGUUCUAAAGACAGUUUCCAAAAUUGGGAAGCCGACUGCAUUUUGGGAAGGCGAAGCAUCAUCUGAGACUAAGUAAACCUGUUACUAAAAUAUUUAGCUCAAUUUCUAUGUGAGAUAAGUAGUUCUGUAAAUAAAAUACUAUUUGAUGGGUUUGAAUAGCUAGAAUAUGUCCUUUGAUGUAUUCUUGGUGUGCUACAAUAAGGCCCUAGAAUGUUGGUUCUUUUCAAAGCUAUGGUAUUGUAUUGCCUAACCAAACCUUAAUAGGUUCAGUGUUCAUGAUUGCAUCACUGAAGCAGCUGCUCGGAAAGUUUUUGUGGAUGCUGGGGUUCCUUAUUAUUGGGACCAAGCUGUCAACUACGUAGAUGACGAAGCUGCUUGAAUUAUCUUCUAAUGUUUUUGGUCAUAUUAUAUAGCAUGCCCAGACAUCGUGUGAUUUCAAUUGAAGAAAUAUGUUUAUAUUGUC